GGAGCUAAUACCGGAUGAUAUUUUGAACCGCAUGGUUCAAAAGUGAAAGACGGUCUUGCUGUCACUUAUAGAUGGAUCCGCGCUGCAUUAGCUAGUUGGUAAGGUAACGGCUUACCAAGGCAACGAUGCAUAGCCGACCUGAGAGGGUGAUCGGCCACACUGGAACUGAGACACGGUCCAG
This 181-nucleotide ribosomal RNA is filed under the name uncultured Staphylococcus sp. Its description in RNAcentral is "partial 16S ribosomal RNA". It matches the Rfam family "Bacterial small subunit ribosomal RNA", at positions 159 to 334 of the family's 1533-position model. The record is from RNAcentral. Lineage: Bacteria; Bacillati; Bacillota; Bacilli; Caryophanales; Staphylococcaceae.